AAUGAACUCCCGGACAUCCCCCACCUCAGCCCAGGGCGGGAGGGCCCUUCCAGCCGCGAUCCCGCUGUCCCCGGUAACCCCCGGGUGGCGCUCCUUGCGGCCGCCCUUCUGCUCGCGGGGAAGCAGCAGUCUCCCCCUCCUUCCGCCGCCUUCCCCUCCCCUCGCCGGGCCCUGGGAUGGACGGUCUCGCGGGCGGGUGGUCUGGAGAGGAACCCGGUUGGAGGGGCAGAUGGAGAAGGGGGCACUUCUCGACGGGGCCUCUUUUCUCUUGACAUCUAGAGCUUUUUGACUGGGUAAAGGCAAGUAGUUUGAUGUGUUAAAAACGUUUAAAUAUUUUUAGCUAGGAAAAAAUAAUAGAGUUUGUGAGUAGCUUGUUUCAAAAUGUUGUUUACAAGUUACAGAUCUGAGAGUCUUUCCUAAGACAAUGCCUCUGUGACUCUGUUGUGUUGUACCAUGAAACUUCAUUAUGAUGUCCCUCCUAGUUAACUUGAUUCUUACUUUUGAAAAACAGCCCUAUUAAAAACAUGGGGUUUCACCAGAUUAAUACAUUGUUAUAUCUUUUUAUUAAGUGAGUAGGUUUAUCCCAAAGUACCGUAUUUGAAAUGGUUAAAAAAUAUUUUGUCUCAAGCUGCUCUUGAGUCCUGCAGUAUUUAAAUACUCUAGUGCUGACCACGUCUUAUUUAUAUAAGAUAUUCAAAAUGUUCUAGUAAUUUGAUUCAAAACUGUGGAAGUAUCCGUAAAGUUUUUCAUACCGAAAUCAACAAGAAUGCUAGGUUGUUUUUCCUCCUUGGAUUUAACAAAGAUUAAAAAGUAGUACUGAAAAGGUUAUUUUUUUUAAGAUGUCACAUACCAUUAUUGAAUGUUAUCAUUGCUAUUUGUAUUUUUCUGUUAUGUUGGUGCUUUGAUAAUCUUAGUGAUUUGUGAAAUUCAGCAUUCUAAGUAUGUCAUGAGUAAUUGACGUAAGUCUGAUAGCACUUGAGGUUUAUUUGUGCCACUGAAUCCACAGUGAUUAUGUAUCUUUCUAAUUAGAAUGAUUCUUUAAAAAUGUUAAAAAGUGACAAAUACUAACAGAUUUAUUGAAUGUAGUAGUAUGUAAGUAGUGAUCGGUUUUACAGAGCAUGUGUAUGAACUCUGAGUUGUGUAUUUGUUCAAGUGCCAAAACUCUGAAUGGAAGGAUGACUUUGUAUUUUUGUGAUACAGUGCAGAAAUAGUCAUAAAUGUCUGUACUGAUAAACAGUGAAACAAUAAUUCUAACUUUUUAUUUAAUAAGAAAAUAUAUUCCAGGAUAGUUGACAUAUAGAUUCUUAAUGAGAGAUUGCAGCUCAUAUUGUUACCAAGAGACUAAAACAUUUCUUCUAUAAUAUGGUUAUACAAGCCCAAAACUUAAAAUAAGACUUCUAAUGCCUUAUUUUCUAUUCUUAAAAGUGGUAAGUUACUGUUCUUGUAAUUCAUAUGGUCUCUGCUUUUUGUCAGGUGGCUUUUCACCAUGAUAUUCUUAUAACUUAAUUUGAAGCUUAAGAGAUAUCUUGUAUUGCUCUAGUAAUGCAUAUUGUUAAAAUAAUACUGCUUUUAAUAUGCGAGAGAUGAUGAAGCCUUGUUUCAAGUGUCAGUGUUUUUUAGAGGAAGAAAGAGGAAAUGCAAACAAAUUAUUUUAAGAACAGUACCUUUAUAAAUCUGGAAGGAAACUUCUUCCAGAAAGUAAGUUGAAAGAACAUUUAGGAAUGGAUCAGAUAAUUUAAUCUUGGGAUAUAAUCAGUAAAUACCUUUAUUUUCACCAAUAUUUUAUUUCAUCGCUGUUUUAGGAGGCCAGGUUCUAUAAGUGGAUUAUGUUUAUUAUUUUCACCUCAUUGAAGGACUUGUAGUACAGUCCAUGUGUUUUCUUUUUAAGUGUGUAAAUGCAGUAUUUUGAGUGGCUGGUCAGGUAAUCAGGUAUUUCAUCAUGUCACCUAUGUAAAUCUCCAGUUUACCAAAGUUUAUUUCAUACGCUUGUGUUUACUAAGAAUACUGGUUGAUUUAUGGACUUUUUUUUUUGGCCUUUUAAGUGCCUUUGUAAAGAUAGCUGAUAUUUGCUGAAUUCUAGCCUAAGAAGUUAGAAGUAGCCGUUCUGGGAGUGUGGAGUUAAUUAAAAUAUAGCUUCAAGAUAAAUCAGAUGUGAGAAGCAAGGUACAGAAUAGUGUGGAGGAGGCC
Molecule: non-coding RNA, 2187 nt
Organism: Equus caballus (horse)
Lineage: Eukaryota; Metazoa; Chordata; Mammalia; Perissodactyla; Equidae
Source: RefSeq, a predicted model, not a curated record